Long non-coding RNA from Prinia subflava (tawny-flanked prinia), 1231 nucleotides. RefSeq lists it as uncharacterized. The transcript is spliced from 3 exons. The record is from RefSeq and is a predicted model, not a curated record. NCBI's taxonomy places the organism in Eukaryota, Metazoa, Chordata, Aves, Passeriformes, Cisticolidae.
CGUUGAGCCAGUCCGAGGAAAAAUACACGGGAGUGGUGUAAACAUCCUGCUCCGGGAAAGCCCUGGAAAACACAAACCCUUGGAAAAGCAGCUCGGGAAAACGGGAUGGGAUUCCCGAAUCCAGCGGGAAGAGCAAGGACCCAUCCCUCUCAAGGGGGAUCCCACACAAGGACUCGUCAAAUCCGCUCGUCCCAUCAGAAUUCCGGGCUUGGAAUAUUCCCAAGGAAUUGUGCCCAAAUCCCAGGACCGUCAUUCCAGCCUUGUUUAUUUCCAGUGACCUGAAUUUUCCUCCUCUUUGUUCCGUGUGCCCCAAAUUUUCCGGGAUUUUCUUUGGCGUGACCUGAAUUUUCUGGUUUGUUCUUUAAAGGGAAUUUCCCUCUAAAAUCCCAUUAGGAUCGAGGUAUGGAUGAGGAUUUAAUAUUAAAAUAUGCUCAUAAAUCUUGUGUAAUUAACCAGUGAUUCACUGGUAAUUACUAGUUAAUAUUUCUAAAAGGAAUUCAAAAUAAUUACAAAUAUAUUAUUAUUAAUUAUAUUUUAUAUUUGUUAUUUCUCUAUUUAAUUAUUUUACUAUUUAUUUUAAUAAUAAUAAUUUAUAAUUUAAUUAUAAGUUUAAUUUUCCUGCUCUUGAUUUCAUGUGCCCCAAAUUUUCCGGGAUUUUCUUUGGCGUGACCUGAAUUUCCAGUUUGUUCUUUAAAGGGAAUUUCCCUCCAAAAUCCCAUUAGGAUCGAGGAUUUGGAAGAAAUUUCAGGAUUUACCAGAAUUCCACAGGAGAUGCUCAAAGUUGAGUUUUCCACGGGAAAAAAAUCUAUGGAAUAAUUUAGGGAAAAAGGUUGGAAUUUUGAGAUUUUUAGUGUUUUUAUCCCUAAAAUUCCAUCCUAAAAGCCUGCAUCCUUCAGGAUUUGGAAGAAACCCCAGCACUCACCGAACUCCCGCAGGAGACGCUUGAAGUUGGAUUUCCCGAUUCUAAAAAAUCCAUGGAUUUCAGAAAAAAACUUGGAAUUUUGGGGGUUUUUAGUGCUUUUAUCCCUAAAAUUCCAUCCUAAACCCCUCCAUCCUUCAGGAUUUGGAAGAAAUUCCAGCACUCACCGAACUCCCGCAGGAGACGCUCGAAGUUGGGUUUCCCGAUUCUAAAAAAUCCAUGGAUUUUGGAAAAAAACUUGGAAUUUUUGGGUUUUUUAGUGCUUUUAUCCCUAAAAUCCAAUCCUAAAAACCUAUUAUUGGAAUGAAUUCC